CCAUCAGCACCCAAAGCUGAUAUUCUCAUUAAACUACUUCUUG
This 43-nucleotide transfer RNA is filed under the name Apodemus sylvaticus (European woodmouse). Its description in RNAcentral is "partial transfer RNA-Pro". Lineage: Eukaryota; Metazoa; Chordata; Mammalia; Rodentia; Muridae. The record is from RNAcentral.